UAACGAGGAAGGAUUUGACUGAUUGCAAACCUCUAUAAAAAAAUGCUAAAGCAGUUU
Molecule: non-coding RNA, 57 nt
Filed under: marine eukaryotic metagenome
Source: RNAcentral